Molecule: non-coding RNA, 92 nt
Organism: Hypoxylon cercidicola
Lineage: Eukaryota; Fungi; Ascomycota; Sordariomycetes; Xylariales; Hypoxylaceae
Source: the annotation of a GenBank genome assembly
GCGGGGAUAGCUCAGUUGGGAGUAGCGUCAGACUGAAGUUCUACUUCAUUCAUAAAAUCUGAAGGUCGUGCGUUCGAUCCGCACUCACCGCA